Molecule: long non-coding RNA, 238 nt
Filed under: Mustela putorius furo (domestic ferret)
Lineage: Eukaryota; Metazoa; Chordata; Mammalia; Carnivora; Mustelidae
Description: lncRNA (ENSMPUG00000029319.1)
Source: RNAcentral
CAGAGCCUGUUUCCUUUAGGUGAGGACGGCUGGCCAUCUUCAUGCCCCUCUGCUGUCCUCCACCGAGUCCCAGUGACUGACUUACCGGCCUGGCUUCCGAGAUAGAGAACCCAUUUGGAGCUUGGUGCCUUAAACAACAACCAUUUACCUACCUCAGAAUUCUGGUUUAUGUGUACAUAAUUUUAACCAUACGUGUUUGAGGAAGAACAGAAAGCCCCAUCGUAUGUAGGAUACUGAA